This is a non-coding RNA of Tumebacillus algifaecis, 96 nucleotides long. NCBI's taxonomy places the organism in Bacteria, Bacillati, Bacillota, Bacilli, Caryophanales, Alicyclobacillaceae. The record is from Rfam.
AAUCAAUAAAGGCAAACCCGCUGAAAGGCGGGGACGCAAAGCCAUGGGUCUACAGUCAGCUCUCCCUAAGCUGACCAUGAUUGCCAGGUUGCUGAU